Molecule: ribosomal RNA, 694 nt
Filed under: uncultured bacterium
Lineage: Bacteria
Description: bacterial SSU rRNA
Rfam family: Bacterial small subunit ribosomal RNA
Source: RNAcentral
AACGCUAGCUACAGGCUUAACACAUGCAAGUCGAGGGGCAGCAUGGUCUUAGCUUGCUAAGGCCGAUGGCGACCGGCGCACGAGUGAGUAACACGUAUCCAACCUGCCGUCUACUCUUGGACAGCCUUCUGAAAGGAAGAUUAAUACAAGAUGGCAUCAUGAGUCCGCAUGUUCACAUGAUUAAAGGUAUUCCGGUAGACGAUGGGGAUGCGUUCCAUUAGAUAGUUGGCGGGGUAACGGCCCACCAAACCGACGAUGGAUAGGGGUUCUGAGAGGAAGGUCCCCCACAUUGGAACUGAGACACGGUCCAAACUCCUACGGGAGGCAGCAGUGAGGAAUAUUGGUCAAUGGACGAGAGUCUGAACCAGCCAAGUAGCGUGAAGGAUGACUGCCCUAUGGGUUGUAAACUUCUUUUAUACGGGAAUAAAGUGAGGCACGUGUGCCUUUUUGUAUGUACCGUAUGAAUAAGGAUCGGCUAACUCCGUGCCAGCAGCCGCGGUAAUACGGAGGAUCCGAGCGUUAUCCGGAUUUAUUGGGUUUAAAGGGAGCGUAGGCGGACGCUUAAGUCAGUUGUGAAAGUUUGCGGCUCAACCGUAAAAUUGCGGUUGAUACUGGGUGUCUUGAGUACAGUAGAGGCAGGCGGAAUUCGUGGUGUAGCGGUGAAAUGCUUAGAUAUCACGAAGAACUCCGAUUG